UGAGAGGUACCAUAGGAAGUUGAUGUG
RNAcentral lists this non-coding RNA (27 nucleotides) under Mus musculus (house mouse). Lineage: Eukaryota; Metazoa; Chordata; Mammalia; Rodentia; Muridae. The record is from RNAcentral.